RNAcentral lists this ribosomal RNA (228 nucleotides) under uncultured bacterium. RNAcentral describes it as "partial 16S ribosomal RNA". It matches the Rfam family "Bacterial small subunit ribosomal RNA", at positions 568 to 795 of the family's 1533-position model. The record is from RNAcentral.
UCCGUAGGUGGAUAAUUAAGUCAGAGGUGAAAUCCUGCAGCUCAACUGUAGAAUUGCCUUUGAUACUGGUUAUCUUGAGUCAUUAUGAAGUGGUUAGAAUGUGUAGUGUAGCGGUGAAAUGCAUAGAUAUUACACAGAAUACCGAUUGCGAAGGCAGAUCACUAAUAAUGUACUGACACUGAGGGACGAAAGCGUGGGGAGCGAACAGGAUUAGAUACCCUGGUAUCC